RNAcentral lists this ribosomal RNA (991 nucleotides) under Tetraploa yakushimensis. RNAcentral describes it as "SSU rRNA". It matches the Rfam family "Eukaryotic small subunit ribosomal RNA", at positions 92 to 1088 of the family's 1831-position model. The record is from RNAcentral. Lineage: Eukaryota; Fungi; Ascomycota; Dothideomycetes; Pleosporales; Tetraplosphaeriaceae.
AAUGGCUCAUUAAAUCAGUUAUCGUUUAUUUGAUAGUACCUACCAACUACUUGGAUAACCGUGGUAAUUCUAGAGCUAAUACAUGCUAAAAACCCCGACUUCGGGAGGGGUGUAUUUAUUAGAUAAAAAACCAAUGCCCCUCGGGGCUUCUUGGUGAUUCAUGAUAACUUAACGGAUCGCAUGGCCUUGCGCCGGCGACGGUUCAUUCAAAUUUCUGCCCUAUCAACUUUCGAUGGUAAGGUAUUGGCUUACCAUGGUUUCAACGGGUAACGGGGAAUUAGGGUUCGAUUCCGGAGAGGGAGCCUGAGAAACGGCUACCACAUCCAAGGAAGGCAGCAGGCGCGCAAAUUACCCAAUCCCGACACGGGGAGGUAGUGACAAUAAAUACUGAUACAGGGCUCUUUUGGGUCUUGUAAUCGGAAUGAGUACAAUUUAAACCCCUUAACGAGGAACAAUUGGAGGGCAAGUCUGGUGCCAGCAGCCGCGGUAAUUCCAGCUCCAAUAGCGUAUAUUAAAGUUGUUGCAGUUAAAAAGCUCGUAGUUGAACCUUGGGCCUGGCUGGCCGGUCCGCCUCACCGCGUGUACUGGUCCGGCCGGGCCUUUCCUUCUGGAGAGCCGCAUGCCCUUCACUGGGUGUGCCGGGGAACCAGGACUUUUACUUUGAAAAAAUUAGAGUGUUCAAAGCAGGCCUUUGCUCGAAUACGUUAGCAUGGAAUAAUAGAAUAGGACGUGCGGUCCUAUUUUGUUGGUUUCUAGGACCGCCGUAAUGAUUAAUAGGGAUAGUCGGGGGCAUCAGUAUUCAAUUGUCAGAGGUGAAAUUCUUGGAUUUAUUGAAGACUAACUACUGCGAAAGCAUUUGCCAAGGAUGUUUUCAUUAAUCAGUGAACGAAAGUUAGGGGAUCGAAGACGAUCAGAUACCGUCGUAGUCUUAACCGUAAACUAUGCCGACUAGGGAUCGGGCGAUGUUUCUAUCUUGACUCGCUCGGCACCU